This 90-nucleotide transfer RNA is filed under the name Robiginitomaculum sp. Its description in RNAcentral is "tRNA-Ser". It matches the Rfam family "tRNA". Rfam says of the family: Transfer RNA (tRNA) molecules are approximately 80 nucleotides in length. Their secondary structure includes four short double-helical elements and three loops (D, anti-codon, and T loops). The record is from RNAcentral. Lineage: Bacteria; Pseudomonadati; Pseudomonadota; Alphaproteobacteria; Maricaulales; Robiginitomaculaceae.
GGAUGGGUGGCCGAGUGGUUUAAGGCGCCAGUCUUGAAAACUGGAGUGCGGGGAACUGUACCGGGGGUUCGAAUCCCUCCCCAUCCGCCA